This is a long non-coding RNA of Felis catus (domestic cat), 4089 nucleotides long. RefSeq lists it as uncharacterized. The transcript is spliced from 3 exons. Lineage: Eukaryota; Metazoa; Chordata; Mammalia; Carnivora; Felidae. The record is from RefSeq and is a predicted model, not a curated record.
UCUAGACUCGCCAGGAGCCAAGUGGGCCGGGAGGCUGGCCUUGCUGGCUGUGCUCAGCAGGAACCCAGUGGGCAGAAAUCCCACUGCCCGGCUCUCCUGGGGCGGGGGUAGAAGGGCAGACUGUAACUCUGUAGUCGUAUUGUGAAGACGAAGGAGGAAACCAGAGCAGCCGAUCCGGCCUGGAUCCCAGUGCCCACGUGCGCACAGAUAGGCCUUUGUGUCCCGGGCCCAGACAACAGGCCACAUUCUUCCCCCACCUCAGUGACGUCCUUCACGGACAUGUCCCCAGAGCACAUUUUCAAAGGAUUAAUCAGCUAUGGAUCAGAUGACACGGCAUUCCCUCUGCUACCCCCUCUCUGCCCAGGCUGCGCCUUCUCUUUGUCGUCUCCGAGCACAGAGCGGGUGGCCGACCCCAGCCCCGCCGACCGGCUGCUUCCAGCGGCCCCUGCACCGCUGUAGGUCUACGAACUUCAACGUACAUAUAGACUGACAUAACCACCACCACGAGCAGGGUACCGAACAAGUCCCAUCAGCCGAAAAUUCUCCCUGGGGCUCUGCCUUCUUGGUCACACCCACCCUCACCUUCUCCUAACCUCUGACAACACUGAGCCGUUCUCCGUCUCCAUAGCUUGGUCUUCUCAAGAACGUCCUAUAAAUGGAAUGAGACAGGGUAGCUGCUCGGGACUUUCAAUACCAGCCUCCUCUCCUCCCACUGCCUGGAAGUUUGGCCCAACGGCUCGCCCCGGAAUUGCCGGUAUGUAGAGACAAGUUGAAGAAAAGGGAGCAUCACAGGGUCACAUGAUGGCAGGACAGGAAGGGGCCUGAGUACAUCUAGAAUGCAGGAGCACUUAUGAACCAACCCCCCACCCCCACCCCAGCCAAGGCUGCCUGGAGCCGGUAGGACUUCAUGAUCUAUCUCUGAGUUGGGAGCUGUUUCAAAACGAUAUUAGUACUUUGAACAAGUGUGGCCAACGAGAAUGGGUAAGGCUGGUGGCUGUUACCAGAUGUGCCUCUGCACGACCAAGGGGCGAGGGGAAAGGCCUUCAGCCGUUCUCUUCAGGGAGACCCUGCCAUUCCUCUGAGCCAAUGUGUCACACUCACAAAGCCAGUAAAUUGGACAGCGGCUACUCAGGACAGCUUAUUUAUAGCGCCAACUACUCUGCCCUCGCCCCUGUGAAAAUUGAGCGAGGAGAACAGCCCAGCGGGAUGGAACGUGUGGCCAUCUGUGACUCUGUUUCCACAACAAAUGCCUCCCAGCUGCGUGUUCCCAUCAGCACCGCGCGGGCACUUGAGCCGAUGGCAGGCAGGGUGCAGCUGGGGCAGGGCCCUUGGAAUCCCAACCCUCUGUGACCUCAUCCCUUCCAGGAACAGCCUGAUGCCAGGACAGGCCCUGGAGGUCACCCUACGUGUUCCCGAGAGAAUAGAGAACAGUUCCGUGUCCAGAGUCCGCAGUGUUUCGGGGUGCAGAUGGCCUUGGGGCCCGCCCAGCAGGUACCCCUGACCCUGCCAGAGUCUAACAAGGCAAGGCUCCCUUGAAGGCCUGCAGAGCACAGGGGUUCAGCCGGGAACAGCAAACUCUCCCUCUGGCACAGAAGCAUAUAGAUGAGCUCCGACAGGAACAGAGAAAGUUCACUUCAAAAUCUGCCUCCCGUGCGAAAAACUCAGAAGACCAAUUUGAUGCCCAUGUUGUGUCACUGUUCUACUAUUUCCAGGCCAGUGCUAUCAUUUUUAAAUCGUUAGGGUCAUGCUCCGUUGUAAAAAGACGAACUGUUCUGAGCGGUCAGGCCCCGUGCUCUGAUGCGCCCGUCUGGACAGGCAGCCAGCGGCCUUUCCUUCCACCCAGGCACUUGCCAUCAGUCUGGGAGCUGUGAAGAAAGGGGAGUCAACGGACCCCACCUUCCAGCAGGUUCUAUUCUUCCUGCUGACUCCAGCCCAUCACAAGGUUGCUUGGGGUGCUCUGCCCAUCACCCAAGAGGAACCAACUCGGUGGGGAGGCUUUCGGCAGGUCACGGACCAGAGAGGGUCUGAAGACACCGUCCCCGCACCCGGAGCACGGCCGACAAUCGUCGCUCCUCUGCCAAAUGUGAUCGCGGCUACAGCACAGGGAGGGAGGGGGGCAUCUAAAACCCCUAUUCCUUCAGGUGCAGGAGACUUUGGAGAAACAGACCUGCUUGAGGAUUCGAAUAGUGACGGUUGGGCUCAAAAGCCCAGGGGGCCACCUCUCUUCCUCUCAGGCCGGGCCACACGAACGGAGGAACGCAGCAGGACAGCGGAGUGGCUGAGCCCAGGAGACCGCCGGCCUGAGGCUCUUGGCCGGAGCUCCGCUGACCCGUCCGCGAGCCACACUGUCCUCCCUUGACGAGCAAACCCUCUCCUGACACCCAGCCCACUUGGCGUUUGCCCUCAUCUCUAGUUCUCAAAUUCCUGAUUUUGUACCCAGGAUCUUUAUCUGCUUCUGGCUCCCGUGAUUUGGCAAAUUGCCAAAGCCCAGCCGGCUGGUGUUCUUAAGGGAUGUCAACUCAGCUGACAGAGUCCCCGCUCCAGCCCCUAGCAGUCAAGGACAGCAUCGCCACCCCUACAGCUCAGCUCCCUCUGAUGCCCGUUUCAAAAUGUCAGCAGUCAGCUUUCGGGUCCGUUGCCGAAGGGACCUGUGUACUGGGAUGUUGGAACCCUGGGUCCCCACCCCACACGCAGAGGGUGAGCACUGGACCCUGUGGAGGCCACGUCUGGAGAGAUGGGCCUCCUGACGCAGCCUCCAGCCGUCCUGGACCUUCAGACCCCAAGAGACUCUAAGAUCAGGGCUAAUCUGGACGCCGAGGUCCACAGCGGAAAACUCAUGACCCCUCUGUGCUGCUUCCUACCUCUGUGCGCCUCACACCUUCCUUCCAGGCCCCCCCGCCGCAGGGAGAAGCCACCCUCCAGCUCCGCCUGUGUCUCCCCCCAUCCCUCAGUGGUUGUAUUUCGGGGACUCAGAAACAUCGAGGGUCAACCGGACCCAGGGAACCCGACCGGUUAGCCUCUGAGCGACUGGCCUGGCCCAGCUUCCGCUGGCUGUCCACAAGAGUAAAUAAACUUCAGCCAGCUCUCUAUCGUUACUGAAGAUCAGUUACUCCCCUCAAGAUCCAACCUGGCAUCUUGGUCCCUAAUUAAGCCUGUAGCGGCUGUCUGCUUGAAGAAAGGGCAGAAAGUAACACAGAGCUGCUAAGACGGUCUAGAAGGGAGACAUCUUGUCAGGUGCCUCUGCCUUUUCUCUAGAGGCAACCCACCCAAAGCCCCCACCCGGAUGGAUACCUGAACUAGUUGUGAACGCUUAGUCCCGGACACGCAGCACCCACUGCAUGCCAAGCUCUGUUUUAAGCACCGAGGACGUGGAGUCACAGAGACAUUGAGUAACUUUCUCAAGGUCAUCCAGCUGGCGGGCUGCAGAGGCAGGGUUCAAAUCCCAGGAGUUUCGCCCUAACCGCUAGGCAAGAGUCUAAUGGACAGCGCUUGGCAUAGGAUAGGUGCUUGGCAACGGUGCUGGGGUUAGAAUUAUUACCAACCAUAGCCUCACCUGCCUUUUCACCAUACAGCACGGGACUGUGAUAAAGCGGUCAUUUGGUAAAUGGCCAGUUCUAGCCAAGUCAGGGAUACAGAACUACACAAGACAAUUCCGGGCACUUGGAAUUGGCUUCCCUGGACUUCAUACGAGCUGUUUGUCUGGACAUCUCUACCGGGUCGUAAUUUCUAACUGUGUUGAGGCACAAAGCUGAGUCACGGGAACUACUCAGAAGUUCGUCGACGAGCACCGGUCCCUUGGUUAGUGAGUGAGCCGAGCCAGCUGCUAGGGACCUGCAUCACAUCACAGGUCUCUUACCCUCUAUUUGCUGCUGUUCCCAUAGAACCUCUCAGAAAUGACAAAAACUCACGUGUCUCUAUGAAAAAGGAACGCCACACGAGUGCCGACAGCUGGUGCCAAUGAUGGAAGCAAAGAGAUUUAAAAAAAAAAAAAAAAAAUCAUUCGUUCUAGAGCGCCUGGGUGGCUCAGUGGGUUAGGAGGCCGACUCUUGAUUUCAGCUCAGGUCACGAGCUUGUGGUUCCUGGGUUCGA